RNAcentral lists this ribosomal RNA (133 nucleotides) under Mycobacterium malmoense. Its description in RNAcentral is "partial 23S ribosomal RNA". It matches the Rfam family "Bacterial large subunit ribosomal RNA", at positions 1 to 129 of the family's 2925-position model. Lineage: Bacteria; Bacillati; Actinomycetota; Actinomycetes; Mycobacteriales; Mycobacteriaceae. The record is from RNAcentral.
UGUUAGUAAGUGCUUAAGGGCGCAUGGUGGAUGCCUUGGCAUCGAGAGCCGAUGAAGGACGUGGGAGGCUGCGAUAUGCCUCGGGGAGCUGUCAACCGAGCGUUGAUCCGAGGAUUUCCGAAUGGGGAAACCC